RNAcentral lists this ribosomal RNA (1471 nucleotides) under anaerobic digester metagenome. Its description in RNAcentral is "bacterial LSU rRNA". It matches the Rfam family "Bacterial large subunit ribosomal RNA", at positions 1458 to 2925 of the family's 2925-position model. The record is from RNAcentral.
UGAGUGAAGCAGGGACACGGCAAAGAGGGCAUGCAUACGACUGGAGGUUGUAUGUACAAGCUUGAAGUGGGGCCAGGGAGGCAAAUCCCUCUGGCUAAUAACUGCGGAAAGUGAUGUGGAGCCAAUAGAGGCGAAGAUGUCUAAUGAGCUGUCAAGAAAAGCUGCUAACGAGAGCUAUAGUACCCGUACCGCAAACUGACACAGGUGGGCAAGGAGAGAAUCCUAAGGCGCGCAAGAGAACCCUUGUUAAGGAACUCGGCAAAAUGACCCCGUAACUUAGGGAGAAGGGGUGUCGUUUUGGGUGUUAAAGCCUGAGACGAUCACAGAAAACAGAUCCAAGCGACUGUUUAGCAAAAACACAGGUCUCUGCUAAGUCGUAAGACGAAGUAUAGGGCUGACGCCUGCCCGGUGCUGGAAGGUCAAGGGGAAGACUUAGUCCUUUAAGGACGAAGGUUAGAACCUAAGCCCCAGUAAACGGCGGCCGUAACUAUAACGGUCCUAAGGUAGCGAAAUUCCUUGUCGGGUAAGUUCCGACCUGCACGAAUGGCGUAACGACUUGGAUGCUGUCUCAACAAGGGACUUGGCGAAAUUGAAAUGCCUGUGAAGAUGCAGGCUACCUGCGACAGGACGGAAAGACCCCGUGGAGCUUUACUGCAGCCUGAUAUUGGGUCUUGGCACAGAAUGUACAGGAUAGGUGGGAGGCAAUGAAACUGGCACGCCAGUGUCAGUGGAGCCGCUGGUGGGAUACCACCCUUUCUGUGGCGGGAUUCUAACUGGAGGCCAUUAUCUGGUCACAGGACAUUGUCAGGCGGGCAGUUUGACUGGGGCGGUCGCCUCCUAAAGAGUAACGGAGGCGCCCAAAGGUUCCCUCGGUGCGGAUGGAAAUCGCACGUGAGAGUGUAAAGGCAUAAGGGAGCUUAACUGCAAGAGAUACAGCUCGAGCAGGUACGAAAGUAGGGCUUAGUGAUCCGGCGGUAUAGUGUGGAAUUGCCGUCGCUCAACGGAUAAAAGUUACCCCGGGGAUAACAGGCUUAUCUCCCCCAAGAGUUCACAUCGACGGAGGUUUGGCACCUCGAUGUCGGCUCGUCGCAUCCUGGAGCUGAAGCAGGUUCCAAGGGUUGGGCUGUUCGCCCAUUAAAGCGGUACGCGAGCUGGGUUCAGAACGUCGUGAGACAGUUCGGUCCCUAUCCGUCGCAGGCGCAAGAUACUUGAGGGGAGCUGUCCCUAGUACGAGAGGACCGGGAUGGACAUACCGCUGGUGCAUCAGUUGUUCCGCCAGGAGCAUAGCUGGGUAGCCACGUAUGGUAGUGAUAAACGCUGAAAGCAUCUAAGCGUGAAACCUACCCCAAGAUAAGGUAUCUCACUCCGUUAAGGAGGUAAGAUCCCUGAAAGAUGAUCAGGUAGAUAGGCCGGAGGUGUAAGUCUAGCAAUAGAUUCAGCUGACCGGUACUAAUAGAUCGAGGUCUUCUCA